RNAcentral lists this ribosomal RNA (137 nucleotides) under Danio rerio (zebrafish). The record is from RNAcentral. Lineage: Eukaryota; Metazoa; Chordata; Actinopteri; Cypriniformes; Danionidae.
UUUAGGCUAUUACCUAAACUGGCCCCAAAGGUGAAGAGAUACUCUCUCUGUAUGGUCACGCACUGAAGCCAAGCAGGGCUGUGCCUGGUCAGUUCCUGAAUGGGAGACUACAUAGGAAAGCUAGGUUGCUGCUGGAA